ACAUGCAAGUCGAGGGGCAGCAUGAGAUAGCUUGCUAUUCAGAUGGCGACCGGCGCACGGGUGAGUAACGCGUAUCCAACCUUCCCCUUAGUAGAGGAUAGCCCGGCGAAAGUCGGAUUAAUACUCUAUGUUGUAUUUUUGAGGACAACUGACGAAUACCAAAGAUUUAUCGCUAAGGGAUGGGGAUGCGUCUGAUUAGCUUGUUGGCGGGGUAACGGCCCACCAAGGCGACGAUCAGUAGGGGUUCUGAGAGGAAGGUCCCCCACAUUGGUACUGAGACACGGACCAAACUCCUACGGGAGGCAGCAGUGAGGAAUAUUGGUCAAUGGGCGAGAGCCUGAACCAGCCAAGUAGCGUGCAGGAACCGACUGCCCUAUGGGUUGUAAACUGCUUUUAUCAGGGAAUAAAGUGCGGCACGUGUGCUGUUUUGUAUGUACCUGAUGAAUAAGGACCGGCUAAUUCCGUGCCAGCAGCGGC
RNAcentral lists this ribosomal RNA (477 nucleotides) under uncultured bacterium. Its description in RNAcentral is "bacterial SSU rRNA". It matches the Rfam family "Bacterial small subunit ribosomal RNA", at positions 53 to 518 of the family's 1533-position model. The record is from RNAcentral.